AGUGAACGCUGGCGGCAGGCCUAACACAUGCAAGUCGAACGGCAGCACAGUAAGAGCUUGCUCUUACGGGUGGCGAGUGGCGGACGGGUGAGGAAUACAUCGGAAUCUACUUUUUCGUGGGGGAUAACGUAGGGAAACUUACGCUAAUACCGCAUAUGACCUACGGGUGAAAGCAGGGGAUCUUCGGACCUUGUGCGAUUGAACUAGCCGCUGUCGUAUUUGCUAGUUGGCGGGGUAAAGGCCCACCAAGGCGACGAUCCGUAGCUGGUCUGGGAGGAUGGUCGGCCACACUGGAACUGGGACACGGUCCAGACGCCUACGGGAGGCAGCAGUGGGGAAUAUUGGACAAUGGGCGCAAGCCUGAUCCAGCCAUACCGCGUGGGUGAAGAAGGCCUUCGGGUUGUAAAGCCCUUUUGUUGGGAAAGAAAAGCAGCAGGUUAAUACCCCGCUGUUCUGACGGUACCCAAAGAAUAAGCACCGGCUAACUUCGUG
This 492-nucleotide ribosomal RNA is filed under the name uncultured bacterium. RNAcentral's name for it is "partial 16S ribosomal RNA". It matches the Rfam family "Bacterial small subunit ribosomal RNA", at positions 29 to 507 of the family's 1533-position model. The record is from RNAcentral.